Molecule: ribosomal RNA, 253 nt
Filed under: uncultured bacterium
Lineage: Bacteria
Description: partial 16S ribosomal RNA
Rfam family: Bacterial small subunit ribosomal RNA
Source: RNAcentral
UACAGAGGGUGCAAGCGUUAAUCGGAAUUACUGGGCGUAAAGCGUGUGUAGGUGGUUUUCUAAGUCAGGUGUGAAAUCCUCGGGCUCAACCCGAGAACUGCAUUUGAUACUGGAAGACUCGAGUGUGGUAGAGGAUGGUGGAAUUCCCGGUGUAGCGGUGAAAUGCGUAGAUAUCGGGAGGAACAUCAGUGGCGAAGGCGGCCAUCUGGACUAACACUGACACUGAGACACGAAAGCGUGGGGAGCAAACAGG